AGUGAACGCUGGCGGUAGGCCUAACACAUGCAAGUCGAACGGCAGCACAGUAAGAGCUUGCUCUUACGGGUGGCGAGUGGCGGACGGGUGAGGAAUACAUCGGAAUCUACUUUUUCGUGGGGGAUAACGUAGGGAAACUUACGCUAAUACCGCAUACGACCUACGGGUGAAAGCAGGGGAUCUUCGGACCUUGCGCGAUUGAAUGAGCCGAUGUCGGAUUAGCUAGUUGGCGGGGUAAAGGCCCACCAAGGCGACGAUCCGUAGCUGGUCUGAGAGGAUGAUCAGCCAAACUGGAACUGAGAAACGGUCCAGACUCCUACGGGAGGAAGCAGUGGGGAAUAUUGGACAAUGGGCGCAAGCCUGAUCCAGACAUACCGCGUGGGUGAAGAAGGCCUUCGGGUUGUAAAGCCCUUUUGUUGGGAAAGAAAAGCAGCAGGUUAAUACCCCGCUGUUCUGACGGUACCCAAAGAAUAAGCACCGGCUAACUUCGUG
Molecule: ribosomal RNA, 492 nt
Filed under: uncultured bacterium
Lineage: Bacteria
Description: partial 16S ribosomal RNA
Rfam family: Bacterial small subunit ribosomal RNA
Source: RNAcentral